Long non-coding RNA from Anastrepha ludens (Mexican fruit fly), 417 nucleotides. RefSeq lists it as uncharacterized. NCBI's taxonomy places the organism in Eukaryota, Metazoa, Arthropoda, Insecta, Diptera, Tephritidae. The record is from RefSeq and is a predicted model, not a curated record. The transcript has 3 exons.
ACGAGCGUUUUGUUGCCGCAAUUCAUUCGGUGAAUUCAAGCGGAAAGUCUCUUUAAUUGUGAGUUUUUAUAAAACCAUUGACGUGAAUAAUAUUUUGGGCGGCGCUUGUCACAGCAAUAGAAAAUGCUACUUGAGGAUUAGGUGGGGGGCAAAAAUAAUUCGCUAGACUUGAACUUUUCUGGCGAAGGAAAUUGCAUGCAAUUCGUAAAAGGCGCUGAAUUCAGCUUAAAACGUGCACCCAACAACUGGCGCAUCACCGUUUUUGGCUUCAAGAUCUCUGACAUCGUCGCACAGUGCAAUGGGUGUGGGCAAAACCUUAAAUAAUUUUCACACAAAAGAAGGGAAGGAAGGAAGUGGGCCGAAAGCAGCACUCAUUGGCAGAAUUUAUUCUUCACUUGAUCUCUUAGCGUCACAUUA